Molecule: ribosomal RNA, 253 nt
Filed under: uncultured bacterium
Lineage: Bacteria
Description: partial 16S ribosomal RNA
Rfam family: Bacterial small subunit ribosomal RNA
Source: RNAcentral
UACAGAGGCCCCAAACGUUAGGCGGAAUCACUGGGCUUAAAGCGUGUGUAGGCGGUUCGGCAAGUCUCUAGUGAAAUCUCUGGGCUCAACUCAGAGUCUGCUGGGGAAACUGCCGGGCUUGAGUGUGGGAGAGGAGAGUGGAAUUCCCGGUGUAGCGGUGAAAUGCGUAGAUAUCGUAAGGAAGACCAGUGGCGAAGGCGGGUCUCUGGACAGUUCCUGACGCUGAGGCACGAAGGUCAGGGGAGCAAACGGG